GAAUCAACGCUGGCGGCGUGCCUCAGACAUGCAAGUCGAACGAUUAAAGCUCUCUUCGGAGAGUGCAUAGAGUGGCGCACGGGUGAGUAACACGUAAGUAAUCUACCUUCGAGUGGGGAAUAACGUCCGGAAACGGGCGCUAAUACCGCAUAAUGCAGCGGCAUCGCAAGAUGACAGUUGUUAAAGGAGCAAUCCGCUUGAAGAGGAGCUUGCGGCAGAUUAGCUAGUUGGUAGGGUAAUGGCCUACCAAGGCUACGAUCUGUAACCGGUCUUAGAGGACGGUCGGUCACACUGACACUGAAUAACGGGUCAGACUCCUACGGGAGGCAGCAGUCGGGAAUUUUGGGCAAUGGGGGAAACCCUGACCCAGCAACGCCGCGUGAAGGAUGAAGUAUUUCGGUAUGUAAACUUCGAAAGAAUAGGAAGAAUUAAUGACGGUACUAUUUAUAAGGUCCGGCUAACUACGUG
This 468-nucleotide ribosomal RNA is filed under the name uncultured bacterium. Its description in RNAcentral is "bacterial SSU rRNA". It matches the Rfam family "Bacterial small subunit ribosomal RNA", at positions 27 to 507 of the family's 1533-position model. The record is from RNAcentral.